AACGAACGCUGGCGGCAGGCUUAAUACAUGCAAGUCGAACGCCCCGCAAGGGGAGUGGCGCACGGGUGAGUAACGCGUGGGAAUAUGCCCUUCGGUUCGGAAUAACACAGGGAAACUUGUGCUAAUACCGGAUACGAUCUACGGAUGAAAGAUUCAUCGCCGAGGGAGUAGCCCGCGUCAGAUUAGCUAGUUGGUGAGGUAAUGGCUCACCAAGGCGACGAUCUGUAGCUGGUCUGAGAGGAUGAUCAGCCACACUGGGACUGAGACACGGCCCAGACUCCUACGGGAGGCAGCAGUGGGAAUAUUGGACAAUGGGGCAACCCUGAUCCAGCAAUGCCGCGUGAGUGAUGAAGGCCUUAGGGUUGUAAAGCUCUUUUACCAGGGACGAUGAUGACGGUACCUGGAGAAUAAG
RNAcentral lists this ribosomal RNA (412 nucleotides) under uncultured bacterium. RNAcentral describes it as "bacterial SSU rRNA". It matches the Rfam family "Bacterial small subunit ribosomal RNA", at positions 29 to 490 of the family's 1533-position model. The record is from RNAcentral.